UACGGGGGGGGUAAGCGUUGUUCGGAAUUACUGGGCGUAAAGGGCUCGUAGGCGGCCAACUAAGUCGGACGUGAAAUCCCCAGGCUUAACUUGGGAACUGCGUCUGAUACUGGGAGGCUUGAGUGCGGGAGAGGGAUGUGGAAUUCCAGGUGUAGCGGUGAAAUGCGUAGAUAUCUGGAGGAACACCGGUGGCGAAGGCGGCAUCCUGGACCGACACUGACGCUGAGGCGCGAAAGCUAGGGGAGCAAACGGG
This 253-nucleotide ribosomal RNA is filed under the name uncultured bacterium. Its description in RNAcentral is "partial 16S ribosomal RNA". It matches the Rfam family "Bacterial small subunit ribosomal RNA", at positions 524 to 776 of the family's 1533-position model. The record is from RNAcentral.